GACGAACGCUGGCGGCGUGCCUAAUACAUGCAAGUAGAACGCUGAAGCUUGGUGCUUGCACCGAGCGGAUGAGUUGCGAACGGGUGAGUAACGCGUAGGUAACCUGCCUGGUAGCGGGGGAUAACUAUUGGAAACGAUAGCUAAUACCGCAUAACAGUAGAUGUCGCAUGACAUUUGCUUAAAAGGUGCAAUUGCAUCACUACCAGAUGGACCUGCGUUGUAUUAGCUAGUUGGUGAGGUAACGGCUCACCAAGGCGACGAUACAUAGCCGACCUGAGAGGGUGAUCGGCCACACUGGGACUGAGACACGGCCCAGACUCCUACGGGAGGCAGCAGUAGGGAAUCUUCGGCAAUGGGGGCAACCCUGACCGAGCAACGCCGCGUGAGUGAAGAAGGUUUUCGGAUCGUAAAGCUCUGUUGUAAGAGAAGAACGAGUGUGAGAGUGGAAAGUUCACGCUGUGACGGUAUCUUACCAG
This 476-nucleotide ribosomal RNA is filed under the name Streptococcus oralis. Its description in RNAcentral is "bacterial SSU rRNA". It matches the Rfam family "Bacterial small subunit ribosomal RNA", at positions 28 to 486 of the family's 1533-position model. The record is from RNAcentral. Lineage: Bacteria; Bacillati; Bacillota; Bacilli; Lactobacillales; Streptococcaceae.